GUGGUACAGAAAUCACAUUGAGGCCGAUGACCCUAGGUGAGCUGGCUGCUGACAGCGAAACCGAACCGGAAAAGCAGGGCACAGGUAGAUGUGGC
This 95-nucleotide non-coding RNA is filed under the name Stieleria varia. The record is from RNAcentral. Lineage: Bacteria; Pseudomonadati; Planctomycetota; Planctomycetia; Pirellulales; Pirellulaceae.